This 85-nucleotide transfer RNA is filed under the name Felis catus (domestic cat). It matches the Rfam family "tRNA". From Rfam's summary of the family: Transfer RNA (tRNA) molecules are approximately 80 nucleotides in length. Their secondary structure includes four short double-helical elements and three loops (D, anti-codon, and T loops). Lineage: Eukaryota; Metazoa; Chordata; Mammalia; Carnivora; Felidae. The record is from Rfam by way of RNAcentral. RNAcentral also lists the same sequence under 4 other names.
GCCUGGGUGGCUCAGUCGGUUGGGCGUCUGACUUCGGCUCAGGUCAUGAUCUCGCGGUCCGUGAGUUCGAGCCCCGCAUCGGGCU